AGCGAACGCUGGCGGCGUGCCUAACACAUGCAAGUCGAACGCGAAAGGGGGGGCAACUCCCUGAGUAGAGUGGCGCACGGGUGAGUAACGCGUGGGUAAUCUGCCUUCGAGUGGGGAAUAACCUCGCGAAAGCGGGGCUAAUACCGCAUAACAUCCUCCUGUCCUCGGAGAGGGGGAGCAAAGAUGACCUCUGCAUGCAAGUUGUCGCUCGAAGAGGGGCCUGUGUACCAUUAGCUAGUUGGCAGGGUAACGGCCUACCAAGGCUACGAUGGGUAGCCGGCCUGAGAGGGUGACCGGCCACACUGAAACUGAGACACGGUCCAGACUCCUACGGGAGGCAGCAGUGAGGAAUAUUGCGCAAUGGGCGAAAGCCUGACGCAGCGACGCCGCGUGGAGGAUGAAGGCCUUCGGGUCGUAAACUCCUGUCGAGGGGGAAGAAAUGACACUUCGUCAAUAGCGAGGGGUCUUGACGGUACCCCUGGAGGAAGCCCCGGCUAACUCCGUGCCAGCAGCCGCCGUAA
RNAcentral lists this ribosomal RNA (521 nucleotides) under uncultured bacterium. RNAcentral's name for it is "partial 16S ribosomal RNA". It matches the Rfam family "Bacterial small subunit ribosomal RNA", at positions 29 to 523 of the family's 1533-position model. The record is from RNAcentral.